GUGCUCGCUUCAGCAGCACAUAUAUAGAAAUUGGAAUGAUACAGAGAAUGGCCCCUGUGCAAGGAUGGCACACAAAUUUGUGAAGCAUUCCAUUAUUUU
RNAcentral lists this small nuclear RNA (99 nucleotides) under Dasypus novemcinctus (nine-banded armadillo). The record is from RNAcentral. Lineage: Eukaryota; Metazoa; Chordata; Mammalia; Cingulata; Dasypodidae.